UGCAGGGUAUAGACCCGAAACCCGGUGAUCUAGCCAUGGGCAGGUUGAAGGUUGGGUAACACUAACUGGAGGACCGAACCGACUAAUGUUGAAAAAUUAGCGGAUGACUUGUGGCUGGGGGUGAAAGGCCAAUCAAACCGGGAGAUAGCUGGUUCUCCCCGAAAGCUAUUUAGGUAGCGCCUCGUGAAUUCAUCUUCGGGGGUAGAGCACUGUUUCGGCUAGGGGGUCAUCCCGACUUACCAACCCGAUGCAAACUACGAAUACCGAAGAAUGUUAUCACGGGAGACACACGGCGGGUGCUAACGUCCGUCGUGAAGAGGGAAACAACCCAGACCGCCAGCUAAGGUCCCAAAGUCAUGGUUAAGUGGGAAACGAUGUGGGAAGGCACAGACAGCCAGGAUGUUGGCUUAGAAGCAGCCAUCAUUUAAAGAAAGCGUAAUAGCUCACUGGUCGAGUCGGCCUGCGCGGAAGAUGUAACGGGGCUAAACCAUGCACCGAAGCUGCGGCAGCGACACUAUGUGUUGUUGGGUAGGGGAGCGUUCUGUAAGCCUGCGAAGGUGUGCUGUGAGGCAUGCUGGAGGUAUCAGAAGUGCGAAUGCUGACAUAAGUAACGAUAAAGCGGGUGAAAAGCCCGCUCGCCGGAAGACCAAGGGUUCCUGUCCAACGUUAAUCGGGGCAGGGUGAGUCGGCCCCUAAGGCGAGGCCGAAAGGCGUAGUCGAUGGGAAACAGGUUAAUAUUCCUGUACUUGGUGUUACUGCGAAGGGGGGACGGAGAAGGCUAUGUUAGCCGGGCGACGGUUGUCCCGGUUUAAGCAUGUAGGCUGGUUGUCCAGGCAAAUCCGGAUAAUCAAGGCUGAGGUGUGAUGACGAGGCACUACGGUGCUGAAGUAACAAAUGCCCUGCUUCCAGGAAAAGCCUCUAAGCAUCAGGUAACAUCAAAUCGUACCCCAAACCGACACAGGUGGUCAGGUAGAGAAUACCAAGGCGCUUGAGAGAACUCGGGUGAAGGAACUAGGCAAAAUGGUGCCGUAACUUCGGGAGAAGGCACGCUGGUGUGUAGGUGAAGUCCCUGCGGAUGGAGCUGAGACCAGUCGAAGAUACCAGCUGGCUGCAACUGUUUAUUAAAAACACAGCACUGUGCAAACACGAAAGUGGACGUAUACGGUGUGACGCCUGCCCGGUGCCGGAAGGUUAAUUGAUGGGGUUAUCCGUAAGGAGAAGCUCUUGAUCGAAGCCCCGGUAAACGGCGGCCGUAACUAUAACGGUCCUAAGGUAGCGAAAUUCCUUGUCGGGUAAGUUCCGACCUGCACGAAUGGCGUAAUGAUGGCCAGGCUGUCUCCACCCGAGACUCAGUGAAAUUGAACUCGCUGUGAAGAUGCAGUGUACCCGCGGCAAGACGGAAAGACCCCGUGAACCUUUACUAUAGCUUGACACUGAACAUUGAGCCUUGAUGUGUAGGAUAGGUGGGAGGCUUUGAAGCGUGGACGCCAGUCUGCGUGGAGCCAACCUUGAAAUACCACCCUUUAAUGUUUGAUGUUCUAACGUUGGCCCCUUACCGGGGUUGCGGACAGUGUCUGGUGGGUAGUUUGACUGGGGCGGUCUCCUCCCAAAGCGUAACGGAGGAGCACGAAGGUUAGCUAAUCCUGGUCGGACAUCAGGAGGUUAGUGCAAUGGCAUAAGCUAGCUUGACUGCGAGCGUGACGGCGCGAGCAGGUGCGAAAGCAGGUCAUAGUGAUCCGGUGGUUCUGAAUGGAAGGGCCAUCGCUCAACGGAUAAAAGGUACUCCGGGGAUAACAGGCUGAUACCGCCCAAGAGUUCAUAUCGACGGCGGUGUUUGGCACCUCGAUGUCGGCUCAUCACAUCCUGGGGCUGAAGUAGGUCCCAAGGGUAUGGCUGUUCGCCAUUUAAAGUGGUACGCGAGCUGGGUUUAGAACGUCGUGAGACAGUUCGGUCCCUAUCUGCCGUGGGCGCUGGAGAAUUGAGGGGGGCUGCUCCUAGUACGAGAGGACCGGAGUGGACGCAUCACUGGUGUUCGGGUUGUCAUGCCAAUGGCACUGCCCGGUAGCUAAAUGCGGAAGAGAUAAGUGCUGAAAGCAUCUAAGCACGAAACUUGCCCCGAGAUGAGUUCUCCCUGAGACUU
This 2140-nucleotide ribosomal RNA is filed under the name Klebsiella pneumoniae. RNAcentral's name for it is "partial 23S ribosomal RNA". It matches the Rfam family "Bacterial large subunit ribosomal RNA", at positions 701 to 2823 of the family's 2925-position model. Lineage: Bacteria; Pseudomonadati; Pseudomonadota; Gammaproteobacteria; Enterobacterales; Enterobacteriaceae. The record is from RNAcentral.